This 98-nucleotide transfer RNA is filed under the name subsurface metagenome. RNAcentral's name for it is "tRNA-Arg". It matches the Rfam family "tRNA". Rfam says of the family: Transfer RNA (tRNA) molecules are approximately 80 nucleotides in length. The record is from RNAcentral.
GGGCCCGUGAUCUAGCCUGGAUAAGAUACCUGGCUUCGGCCUUCGCUGCGAGGGAAGAAACCAGGAAAUCGGGGGUUCGAAUCCCUCCGGGCCCGCCA